Molecule: ribosomal RNA, 200 nt
Filed under: uncultured bacterium
Lineage: Bacteria
Description: partial 16S ribosomal RNA
Rfam family: Bacterial small subunit ribosomal RNA
Source: RNAcentral
AGAGUUUGAUCCUGGCUCAGGACGAACGCUGGCGGCGUGCCUAACACAUGCAAGUCGAGCGGAGACAGUGAGUAGCUUGCUAUGAGCUUGUUUUAGCGGCGGACGGGUGAGUAACGCGUGAGCAACCUUUCCCAGACGAGGGAAUAACACACCGAAGGUGUACUAAUACCGCAUAAGACCGACGGGAUCACAUGGUUCGU